Long non-coding RNA from Macadamia integrifolia, 905 nucleotides. RefSeq lists it as uncharacterized. The transcript is spliced from 3 exons. Lineage: Eukaryota; Viridiplantae; Streptophyta; Magnoliopsida; Proteales; Proteaceae. The record is from RefSeq and is a predicted model, not a curated record.
ACUACAUCAUCCAAAAUGUAUCAUCCAAACUACAUCAUCUAAUUUUCUUAAGAAAAUCACAAAUGUAUCAUCUAAAAUACAUCAUUCAAAUAUCCUAAUUCAAGAUCUAUGAAGUAUUUGUCUGUUUUCGCAACUUUCAGAUUUGAAGUCUGAUAUUCCAUGGUCGAGGAGAAACAAAACCCUAAUCUCAGAUCUUUGGGAGAGAACUUGAAAAGCAAGGAAACGCGUCUGACAAAUGAUCUGUCCUCAAGUUCAUCCUUUCUCAAUUAUGGAAAUGAUUCCUCUAUCUUCAAUUAAAUCGGUUUCUUUUCAUUUGCAUUUUAGAGUUAUGGAAAUGAUUCCUCUGAUUUGAAUCAAAUUGGUUUCAUUUCAUUUGUAUUUCACCUCUGACUUGUCAGAUCCAAUAUUUAUCACUGCUAUGCCCUCUCAGGCUCUCCUGAGCCUUUAAGAGUGUUUUUGGCGAGAAGAAGAGGAAAGUCUCCUCAGCGAUUUUGGUCUUGAAAUCGAAGAAGAAAGGCGUAGCUGACCUAAUCUCCCUUAGUUUCACUGAAGUCUUGUAGAAGAUGGUUGAUGCUGAGGAUAUUCAACCUCGCCUCUGCGAUAAUGGAACUGGAAUGGUCUAAGGAAAUUAGAGAAUUCCCCAUCUCAAAUUAGAGUUAUACCUGGAGUCGAGAAAGAGAGAUCGAGAGAGAAGCCCCGACUUGAGUUUCUUUUGUCCACCGUUAGGAGAGAAGACGAGGCAGCGGACAAUGGUUUGAGAGACUUGUGGACAAGACGAAGGGAGAGGCUGGCGGUUUGAGUGACUUGCGGACAAUGGUUAGAGAGAUGCCCCUAACCAGCAUUUUUCUCACCGUUGGGAGAGAAGACAAGACGGAGCGAGAGGCCAGCGGACAGCAAAGUGAUGG